ACCUCCAAAACUUUACAAUAAAAAUAAAAACAACUUUUCGCAUUUGAUGUCGUCGAUAAACAUCAAUAGAUAUAGGAAGAUGUGGUGUGAGUGCCAAUGAGACAACUCUCCAUCCAAAUAACAAUUUAUAAAAGUAAACCAUUAUAGGUCAAUGUACGGCCUUCAACACGGAGCCUUGGCUCACACCGAACAAAAAGCUAUAAAGGGUCCGAAAAUUACUAGUGUAAAACCAUUCAAACGGG
This 242-nucleotide long non-coding RNA is filed under the name Mytilus galloprovincialis (Mediterranean mussel). Lineage: Eukaryota; Metazoa; Mollusca; Bivalvia; Mytilida; Mytilidae. The record is from RNAcentral.